This 254-nucleotide ribosomal RNA is filed under the name uncultured bacterium. Its description in RNAcentral is "partial 16S ribosomal RNA". It matches the Rfam family "Bacterial small subunit ribosomal RNA", at positions 524 to 776 of the family's 1533-position model. The record is from RNAcentral.
UACGGGGGGAGCAAGCGUUGUUCGGAUUUACUGGGCGUAAAGGGCGCGUAGGCGGCCACCGCAAGUCAAUUGUGAAAUCUCCGGGCUUAACUCGGAAAGGUCAACUGAUACUGCGGGGCUAGAGUGCAGAAGGGGCAACUGGAAUUCUCGGUGUAGCGGUGAAAUGCGUAGAUAUCGAGAGGAACACCUGCGGCGAAGGCGGGUUGCUGGACUGACACUGACGCUGAGGCGCGAAAGCUAGGGGAGCGAACGGG